Molecule: non-coding RNA, 27 nt
Filed under: Drosophila melanogaster (fruit fly)
Lineage: Eukaryota; Metazoa; Arthropoda; Insecta; Diptera; Drosophilidae
Source: RNAcentral
UGGCAAUCGAGAUAGUUACGGUAUUAA